RNAcentral lists this ribosomal RNA (408 nucleotides) under uncultured Actinoplanes sp. Its description in RNAcentral is "bacterial SSU rRNA". It matches the Rfam family "Bacterial small subunit ribosomal RNA", at positions 353 to 772 of the family's 1533-position model. Lineage: Bacteria; Bacillati; Actinomycetota; Actinomycetes; Micromonosporales; Micromonosporaceae. The record is from RNAcentral.
AGUGGGGAAUAUUGCACAAUGGGCGGAAGCCUGAUGCAGCGACGCCGCGUGAGGGAUGACGGCCUUCGGGUUGUAAACCUCUUUCAGCAGGGACGAAGCGCAAGUGACGGUACCUGCAGAAGAAGCGCCGGCCAACUACGUGCCAGCAGCCGCGGUAAGACGUAGGGCGCGAGCGUUGUCCGGAUUUAUUGGGCGUAAAGAGCUCGUAGGCGGCUUGUCGCGUCGACCGUGAAAACUCGCAGCUCAACUGCGAGGCUUGCGGUCGAUACGGGCAGGCUAGAGUUCGGUAGGGGAGACUGGAAUUCCUGGUGUAGCGGUGAAAUGCGCAGAUAUCAGGAGGAACACCGGUGGCGAAGGCGGGUCUCUGGGCCGAUACUGACGCUGAGGAGCGAAAGCGUGGGGAGCGAA